CGGUUGAUUCGAUAUCCAUAUGUUUCUAUUCAUCUCUAACUGUUAUUCAAUUGAAUUUUUAGUAUAUUAUCAAGUGAUUUAUCAUUAUGAAUAAAAGUGUUAUGAAAAUUAAAAAAUGUUUUGACACCAUUGACACAUAAAUCCAAGGGAUGAAAGAAAAAGAUUGAAAUAAACUUCAAAGUAAUAUCUUUAGCCUUUUGAAUGACAAAUUACUGGUUCCAACCCGCUGACCUUUCUUUUCACUUUGGAUGACUUUUUGCUUCGCUCGUGACCAAUUAUGAUUACUAUUAUUAUUGUCUCACUUUAUGUGCUUAUGCUCAGCACACACACACACACAACUUGAUGUGCUGUUAUCUUUAUGGUAGAAACAACAACUCAACUCACUGUUCACCCUGUGUUCACCACCCUCUGUGAAAACGACUUGUAACUGCAUGUCAAAGUUUCUUUUUUUUCUCUCUUCAGCUUCUUCUUUUUUCUGUUGUGUGUGUCUUAUGUUUCUUUUGCUUCUUCAUUCCCUAACCUGUUAUUACAACCUACCACCACAACCUCCUCCGCCUUUUUCUUCAUCUUCUUUAUCAUCAGCAUCAUCCUUUGCUCCUAGAAAUGUACCAAAUAAUACUCUUCUUUUGAAUGUACUUUUCAAGAAACAGAUUCCAAUACCAAUCAUUAUUACGAUUGGAGUAACUUUGAAUUGGAUAAGUCGACAGAUUCAAUGCAACACAAUCACUAUUCAUUCACUUCUUACAAUUAUCAUUAUUAUUAACAUCAUCAUCAUCCUAUUACAUCUUGUAUUCAUUGUUAAACCAUUUUUAACUUCACUUCAACAUCACCUUUUCACGCUAUAUUUCAAGUUUUGCUGUUCACUUCAAAAUUUAUCAACUAACAGUAAUUGUUUCCACUGGUCCAUUGGCUUAAUCCUAAUUAUCAUCUUUCAAUCAUCUGGAUUCAGCCAUCUUCAUCUCUUACCUUCGCUACUUGUAUCAUCCUUCAUUUGUAUCCUCUUGUUUCAUUUCAAAUCUUCAAUAGUCAAAUAUUUAAGCAGAUUAAUACUAUUGCUAACAAUGUUUGAAACAAAAAAUACAUUGAACAGUAAAUACCAAAGCUGAUGGAUAAAGAAUUGAAACACAAAUCAAAAUAAUGCUUAAAUGGUAAUCCAAUUGAGUUAUCACAAUAGGAUAAAAAAAUUUUGUUCAAAAGUUUGCCUGAUGAAAGAUUCAACAAGAAACCGAGACAAACUCAAUAAAAAGAUUAUUAUAUUUGUAAA
Tetranychus urticae (two-spotted spider mite) is the source of this 1264-nucleotide long non-coding RNA. RefSeq lists it as uncharacterized. The record is from RefSeq and is a predicted model, not a curated record. NCBI's taxonomy places the organism in Eukaryota, Metazoa, Arthropoda, Arachnida, Trombidiformes, Tetranychidae.